This is a long non-coding RNA of Musa acuminata AAA Group (dessert banana), 933 nucleotides long. RefSeq lists it as uncharacterized. The record is from RefSeq and is a predicted model, not a curated record. The transcript is spliced from 4 exons. NCBI's taxonomy places the organism in Eukaryota, Viridiplantae, Streptophyta, Magnoliopsida, Zingiberales, Musaceae.
UGGGAUGUUGAGGCCUUCAGUUAUUUAAAUCCGAAUCGAGGAUCUCAGCAUUAUUUUCCUAAUAUAAACUAAGAUUAAUCCAAAUUUUUAGAGCUGAUGUCGCAUGCUAUAUAUACACUUGAAGAACCCGAUAGUUCCAACAACUUCCACGACGUGAGCACCGCCAUCCCUAGAAUUUCGCGGAGCGGACGAAGAAGGUCGCAUCGAUGCCAGUCAUCCCUCAUCCGCGACGACGAGGCCGGAGAAGAGCGCCUGACGGCCGCCGGAGAAUGGAGGGUCCGGCCCAGGAGCGGGGAGCCCAUGGCUUUCCGGAAAUGACCCUCCUCUACCCUUUUCGUGAGGAUCGAUGGAAGGAAGGGAGAGAGCCCAAGAAACCACACGCGAGGUGUCAUCCUUUCUCGGGGACGCAGAAUGGCAUUCUUUCUGUAAGUUCUGGAACGAGGGAUUGGUUCGGACACCUCUAUAUGAUCAAGUGUCAUAGACGACGGCAGCAUCCAUGGAUGUAGCCCUCGACGACGCCGUGACGAGUGCCGGGUUCUGGCCGUGGUAGGGAAAGAGAGCCCAGUACAGCAGCAGCUCGAACCCAUGGCUGAACGGGAAUGGUAGUGUGACCCUCCUCUUCUCUUCCCUAGGGGAUCAACGGAAGAAUGGAGAAAUCGUAUGAAACCAUACGUGAGUGGGACCAAAGCUUUGGCCAUCUUUUUGCAAAGGUUGUUUGGAGUGGACACUACAACCUCGGAUUUCAUGACUUGGAAAUAGAAGAAAACAUUGCUUAUAAUUAUAGAGCUAAUUGGAUGCCUGGCUGCCUCAUGUCAAGCGUAAGUUUCAUUUGUUUUUCUUAUAUGUCAUGUUAGUCUAGUAAGAACAUAGGUUGAUGACAAGACUAUUUUGCAAAAUGAAUUUCUGAUAGUCAUAUGAUCUAACUUUAUCUUC